GGUGGCUAUGUCCUUGCUCCCUAAACUGAUGAGGGAGCCACUUCAAUCAUCUACCUCACUUGCCCUGCCGGAAUGUGGGAAGGAACCAAUGCUGAUUCUUAAUGAAGCUGAUGGAGUGGUCACCGGGCAAGUCAUAGCAGAAGACGUGGUUCUGUGCGAGAUAUGUAGCUACUUUCAGGGGUUAUGUGUUCUCUUUGCUGCCUGCUAUGCCUUCAAUACACAUUACAAUAAAAAACAUCGAAACACCCUGUGCUUCACUGAAAGAGUGUUAAUUGGGAUGGUUGGA
Hyalella azteca is the source of this 286-nucleotide long non-coding RNA. RefSeq lists it as uncharacterized. The record is from RefSeq and is a predicted model, not a curated record. Lineage: Eukaryota; Metazoa; Arthropoda; Malacostraca; Amphipoda; Hyalellidae. The transcript has 2 exons.